Long non-coding RNA from Oncorhynchus tshawytscha (Chinook salmon), 1127 nucleotides. The record is from Ensembl. NCBI's taxonomy places the organism in Eukaryota, Metazoa, Chordata, Actinopteri, Salmoniformes, Salmonidae.
AAAUGACAAAAUUUCAUAUUUUCAGAAUUUUGAAAAAAAUUCUGAAAACUAAAUGAUAGUAUACUAUAUCACCCCGCCCUUCGCUUUGAGUCCUUAGGAAACUAUGCAGUAUUUUGUUUUUUUAAAAUGUAUUAUUUCUGACACUGUUACACCAGGAAAUCUGAAGUCUUAUUACAUACAGCCGGGAAGAACUAUUGGAUAUAAGAGCGACGUCAACUUAGCAACAUUACGACUAGAAAUACGACUUUCCCGAAGCGGAUCCUCUGUUUGGACCACCACCCAGGACAAUGGAUCAGAUCCUCUGUUUGGACCACUACCCAGGACAAUGGAUCAGAUCCUCUGUAUGGACCACCACCCAGGACAAUGGAUCAGAUCCUCUGUUUGGCCCACCACCCAGGACAAUAGAUCAGAUCCUCAUUUGGCCCACCACCCAGGACAAUAGAUCAGAUCCUCUGUUUGGCCCACCACCCAGGACAAUAGAUCAGAUCCUCUGUUUGGCCCACCACCCAGAAUAAUGGAUCAGAUCCUCUGUAUGGACCACCACCCAGGACAAUGGAUCAGAUCCUCUGUUUGGCCCACCACCCAGGACAAUGGAUCGGAUCCCAGUAGCCGACCCAAAACAACAGCACCGCAGAAGGGGCAGACGCAGCGGCCUCCUGGUCAGGCUACGUUGACGUGCACAUCGCCCACCGCUCCCGAGUAUACUACUCGCCAAUGUCCCGUCUCUGGACAACAAGGUAGACAAAAUCCGAGCAAGGGUCGCCUUCCAGAGAGACAUCAGGGAUUAUAACAUUCUCUUUUUCACGGAAACAUGGCUCUCUCGGGAUAUGUUGUCGGAAUCGGUUCAGCCGCCAGGCUUCUCAAUGCAUCGCGCUAUCAGAGAUAAACACCUCUCUGGGAAGAGGAAGGGCGGGGGUGUAUGCUUCAUGAUUAUCGACUCAUGGUGUAAUCAUAACAACAUACAGGAACUCAUCCUUCUUCUCACCCGACCUAGAAUUCCUUACAAUCAAAUGCUGGCCAUAUUACCUCCCAAGAGAAUUCUCGUCAGUUAUCGUCACAGCUGUGUACAUUCCCCCUCAAGCAGACACCAAGACGGCCCUCAUGGAACUUCACUGGACUCUAUGUAA